This 301-nucleotide ribosomal RNA is filed under the name uncultured bacterium. RNAcentral describes it as "partial 16S ribosomal RNA". It matches the Rfam family "Bacterial small subunit ribosomal RNA", at positions 508 to 808 of the family's 1533-position model. The record is from RNAcentral.
CAAGCAGCCACGGUAAUGCGGAGGGAGCUAGCGUUGUUCGGAAUUACUGGGCGUAAAGCGCACGUAGGCGGCUUUGUAAGUCAGAGGUGAAAGCCUGGAGCUCAACUCCAGAACUGCCUUUGAGACUGCAUCGCUUGAAUCCAGGAGAGGUGAGUGGAAUUCCGAGUGUAGAGGUGAAAUUCGUAGAUAUUCGGAAGAACACCAGUGGCGAAGGCGGCUCACUGGACUGGCAUUGACGCUGAGAUGCGAAAGCGUGGGGAGCAAACAGGAUUAGAUACCCCAGUAGUCCCUGUCUCUUAUA